GACGAACGCUGGCGGCGCGCUUAACACAUGCAAGUCGAGCGAGAACCAGGGCUUCGGCCCUGGGGACAGCGGCGAACGGGUGGGUAACACGUGGAUAACCUGCCCUCGGCACCGGGAUAGCCCGGGGAAACCCGGAUUAAUACCGGAUGGCCCGUCCGGCUCUCGAGCCGGCCGGAAAAGGUAGCUUCGGCCUCCGGCCGAGGAUGGGUCCGCGGCGGAUUAGCUUGUUGGCGGGGUAACGGCCCACCAAGGCGACGAUCCGUAGCUGGUCUGAGAGGACGAUCAGCCACACUGGGACUGAGACACGGCCCAGACUCCUACGGGAGGCAGCAGUGGGGAAUCUUGCGCAAUGGGCGAAAGCCUGACGCAGCGACGCCGCGUGAGGGAAGAAGGCCUUCGGGUUGUAAACCUCUUUCAGGAGGGACGAAGCUACUCGGGUGAACAGCCCAGAGGGUGACGGUACCUCCAGAAGAAGCCCCGGCUAACUACGUGCCAGCAGCCGCCGUAA
RNAcentral lists this ribosomal RNA (508 nucleotides) under uncultured bacterium. RNAcentral describes it as "partial 16S ribosomal RNA". It matches the Rfam family "Bacterial small subunit ribosomal RNA", at positions 28 to 523 of the family's 1533-position model. The record is from RNAcentral.